Molecule: ribosomal RNA, 292 nt
Filed under: uncultured bacterium
Lineage: Bacteria
Description: partial 16S ribosomal RNA
Rfam family: Bacterial small subunit ribosomal RNA
Source: RNAcentral
GUGCCAGCCGCCGCGGUAAUACAGAGGGUGCAAGCGUUGUUCGGAAUUAUUGGGCGUAAAGGGAGUGUAGGCGGUUUGUUAAGUCUUCUGUGAAAUCUACGGGCUUAGCCUGUAACGUGCAGAGGAAACUGGCAGACUUGAGUGUCGGAGAGGAUAGGGGAAUACCCAGUGUAGAGGUGAAAUUCGUAGAGAUUGGGUGGAACACCAGUGGCGAAGGCGCCUGUCUGGCUGACAACUGACGCUGAGACUCGAAAGCAUGGGGAGCAAACAGGAUUAGAUACCCCUGUAGUCC